GCAUAUCAAUAAGCGGAGGAAAAGAAACCAACAGGGAUUGCCCUAGUAACGGCGAGUGAAGCGGCAACAGCUCAAAUUUGAAAUCUGGCCUCGGCCCGAGUUGUAAUUUGCAGAGGAUGCUUCGGGCGCGGUGCCUACUGAGUUCCCUGGAACGGGACGCCGUAGAGGGUGAGAGCCCCGUACGGUAGGACGCCUAGCCUGUGUGAAGCUCCUUCGACGAGUCGAGUAGUUUGGGAAUGCUGCUCAAAAUGGGAGGUAUAUCUCUUCUAAAGCUAAAUACCGGCCAGAGACCGAUAGCGCACAAGUAGAGUGAUCGAAAGAUGAAAAGCACCUUGAAAAGGGGGUUAAACAGCACGUGAAAUUGUUGAAAGGGAAGGGCCCAUGACCAGACUUGUGUCCGGCGGAUCACCCAGCGUUCUCGCUGGGGCACUCCGCCGGGUCCAGGCCAGCAUCGGUUCUCGCCGGGGGAUAAAGGCUUGGGGAACGUAGCUCCUCCGGGAGUGUUAUAGCCCCUUGCGUAAUACCCUGGCGGGGACCGAGGUACGCGCUCCGCAAGGAUGCUGGCGUAAUGGUCAUCAGCCAC
RNAcentral lists this ribosomal RNA (583 nucleotides) under Phaeoacremonium rubrigenum. RNAcentral describes it as "LSU rRNA". It matches the Rfam family "Eukaryotic large subunit ribosomal RNA", at positions 38 to 648 of the family's 3401-position model. The record is from RNAcentral. Lineage: Eukaryota; Fungi; Ascomycota; Sordariomycetes; Togniniales; Togniniaceae.